GAGGGUAUAGCUCAAGUGGUAGAGCACAUGCUUAGCAUGCACGAGGUCCUGGGCUCAAUCUCCAGUACCUCCU
RNAcentral lists this transfer RNA (73 nucleotides) under Camelus bactrianus (Bactrian camel). It matches the Rfam family "tRNA". Rfam says of the family: Transfer RNA (tRNA) molecules are approximately 80 nucleotides in length. Their secondary structure includes four short double-helical elements and three loops (D, anti-codon, and T loops). Lineage: Eukaryota; Metazoa; Chordata; Mammalia; Artiodactyla; Camelidae. The record is from Rfam by way of RNAcentral. RNAcentral also lists the same sequence under 2 other names.